AAAAUAGUUCACUCGUGGACUAUAUAUAAAGGAGUCGACUACGAUCCCACACUAUCGACUUGUUUCUCAACCUCGAUAUGAAGCUGUUAGUCUCUUUGGUUGUGGUGGCGCUGGCUGCUAGUGGCCACGCUGACUAUCUAUCAGAUAAUCCAUAUGCUGCCAGACCAUCCUACACGCCCCCUUCACCAUCUUACGGAGGCGGGUCUCAUGCUAGCUACGGUACAGCAACAGGCUACAGUAAUUUCAACCUAGGAGCUCCUCUUAGCUACGGCGGAGGUUCUUCAGGGGGAGGAAUUGGCUCCGUCGGUGGUCUUGGCUCCGUCGGUGGUUUUGGUGGUGGUGGUGGUGCAGGAGGGAACUACGGUCCUCCCCCGACAGGAUAUGGUCACUAAACUUCAUUCACCUCACGGAUAUGGUAAUGAAAACUCCUCCAGCAUCAAGACUAACUCCAUAACAGUUAAAGUUAGAUAGUAUUUAUUUAAUAUUCUCUGAUACUAUUAAUAUUACGGGCACUAAUAAAAGUUAAAACUAUCAA
This is a long non-coding RNA of Homarus americanus (American lobster), 535 nucleotides long. RefSeq lists it as uncharacterized. The transcript has 2 exons. The record is from RefSeq and is a predicted model, not a curated record. NCBI's taxonomy places the organism in Eukaryota, Metazoa, Arthropoda, Malacostraca, Decapoda, Nephropidae.